RNAcentral lists this ribosomal RNA (740 nucleotides) under Apilactobacillus kunkeei. RNAcentral's name for it is "bacterial SSU rRNA". It matches the Rfam family "Bacterial small subunit ribosomal RNA", at positions 386 to 1118 of the family's 1533-position model. Lineage: Bacteria; Bacillati; Bacillota; Bacilli; Lactobacillales; Lactobacillaceae. The record is from RNAcentral.
AUGGAGCACGCCGCGUGAGUGAUGAAGGUUUUCGGAUCGUAAAACUCUGUUGUUAAAGAAGAACAAGUGUUAGAGUAACUGUUAACACUUUGACGGUAUUUAACCAGAAAGCCACGGCUAACUACGUGCCAGCAGCCGCGGUAAUACGUAGGUGGCAAGCGUUGUCCGGAUUUAUUGGGCGUAAAGCGAGCGCAGGCGGUUUUGUAAGUCUGCUGUGAAAGCCCUCAGCUCAACUGAGGAAGUGCAGUGGAAACUACAAAACUUGAGUACAGAAGAGGAAAGUGGAACUCCAUGUGUAGCGGUGAAAUGCGUAGAUAUAUGGAAGAACACCAGUGGCGAAGGCGGCUUUCUGGUCUGUUACUGACGCUGAGGCUCGAAAGCAUGGGUAGCGAACAGGAUUAGAUACCCUGGUAGUCCAUGCCGUAAACGAUGAAUACUAGGUGUUGGAGGGUUUCCGCCCUUCAGUGCCGCAGCUAACGCAUUAAGUAUUCCGCCUGGGGAGUACGACCGCAAGGUUGAAACUCAAAGGAAUUGACGGGGGCCCGCACAAGUGGUGGAGCAUGUGGUUUAAUUCGAUGCUACGCGAAGAACCUUACCAGCUCUUGACAUCUUCUGCCAACCCAAGAGAUUGGGCGUUCCCUUCGGGGACAGAAUGACAGGUGGUGCAUGGUUGUCGUCAGCUCGUGUCGUGAGAUGUUGGGUUAAGUCCCGCAACGAGCGCAACCCUUAUUAUUAGUUGC